ACUGGGGCCCAUGAUGCUUGA
This 21-nucleotide unclassified non-coding RNA is filed under the name Mus musculus (house mouse). Its description in RNAcentral is "oocyte_clustered_small_RNA9". The record is from RNAcentral. Lineage: Eukaryota; Metazoa; Chordata; Mammalia; Rodentia; Muridae.